This 387-nucleotide ribosomal RNA is filed under the name Salmonella enterica. RNAcentral describes it as "partial 23S ribosomal RNA". It matches the Rfam family "Bacterial large subunit ribosomal RNA", at positions 161 to 586 of the family's 2925-position model. The record is from RNAcentral. Lineage: Bacteria; Pseudomonadati; Pseudomonadota; Gammaproteobacteria; Enterobacterales; Enterobacteriaceae. RNAcentral also lists the same sequence under 4 other names.
AAUCCAUAGGUUAAUGAGGCGAACCGGGGGAACUGAAACAUCUAAGUACCCCGAGGAAAAGAAAUCAACCGAGAUUCCCCCAGUAGCGGCGAGCGAACGGGGAGGAGCCCAGAGCCUGAAUCAGCAUGUGUGUUAGUGGAAGCGUCUGGAAAGGCGCGCGAUACAGGGUGACAGCCCCGUACACAAAAGCGCAUGUGCUGUGAGCUCGAUGAGUAGGGCGGGACACGUGGUAUCCUGUCUGAAUAUGGGGGGACCAUCCUCCAAGGCUAAAUACUCCUGACUGACCGAUAGUGAACCAGUACCGUGAGGGAAAGGCGAAAAGAACCCCGGCGAGGGGAGUGAAAAAGAACCUGAAACCGUGUACGUACAAGCAGUGGGAGCACCCUU